AUGCUGGAGGUAUCAGAAGUGCGAAUGCUGACAUAAGUAACGAUAAAGCGGGUGAAAAGCCCGCUCGCCGGAAGACCAAGGGUUCCUGUCCAACGUUAAUCGGGGCAGGGUGAGUCGACCCCUAAGGCGAGGCCGAAAGGCGUAGUCGAUGGGAAACAGGUUAAUAUUCCUGUACUUGGUGUUACUGCGAAGGGGGGACGGAGAAGGCUAUGUUGGCCGGGCGACGGUUGUCCCGGUUUAAGCGUGUAGGCUGGUUUUCCAGGCAAAUCCGGAAAAUCAAGGCUGAGGCGUGAUGACGAGGCACUACGGUGCUGAAGCAACAAAUGCCCUGCUUCCAGGAAAAGCCUCUAAGCAUCAGGUAACAUCAAAUCGUACCCCAAACCGACACAGGUGGUCAGGUAGAGAAUACCAAGGCGCUUGAGAGAACUCGGGUGAAGGAACUAGGCAAAAUGGUGCCGUAACUUCGGGAGAAGGCACGCUGAUAUGUAGGUGAAGUCCCUCGCGGAUGGAGCUGAAAUCAGUCGAAGAUACCAGCUGGCUGCAACUGUUUAUUAAAAACACAGCACUGUGCAAACACGAAAGUGGACGUAUACGGUGUGACGCCUGCCCGGUGCCGGAAGGUUAAUUGAUGGGGUUAGCGCAAGCGAAGCUCUUGAUCGAAGCCCCGGUAAACGGCGGCCGUAACUAUAACGGUCCUAAGGUAGCGAAAUUCCUUGUCGGGUAAGUUCCGACCUGCACGAAUGGCGUAAUGAUGGCCAGGCUGUCUCCACCCGAGACUCAGUGAAAUUGAACUCGCUGUGAAGAUGCAGUGUACCCGCGGCAAGACGGAAAGACCCCGUGAACCUUUACUAUAGCUUGACACUGAACAUUGAGCCUUGAUGUGUAGGAUAGGUGGGAGGCUUUGAAGUGUGGACGCCAGUCUGCAUGGAGCCGACCUUGAAAUACCACCCUUUAAUGUUUGAUGUUCUAACGUUGACCCGUAAUCCGGGUUGCGGACAGUGUCUGGUGGGUAGUUUGACUGGGGCGGUCUCCUCCUAAAGAGUAACGGAGGAGCACGAAGGUUGGCUAAUCCUGGUCGGACAUCAGGAGGUUAGUGCAAUGGCAUAAGCCAGCUUGACUGCGAGCGUGACGGCGCGAGCAGGUGCGAAAGCAGGUCAUAGUGAUCCGGUGGUUCUGAAUGGAAGGGCCAUCGCUCAACGGAUAAAAGGUACUCCGGGGAUAACAGGCUGAUACCGCCCAAGAGUUCAUAUCGACGGCGGUGUUUGGCACCUCGAUGUCGGCUCAUCACAUCCUGGGGCUGAAGUAGGUCCCAAGGGUAUGGCUGUUCGCCAUUUAAAGUGGUACGCGAGCUGGGUUUAGAACGUCGUGAGACAGUUCGGUCCCUAUCUGCCGUGGGCGCUGGAGAACUGAGGGGGGCUGCUCCUAGUACGAGAGGACCGGAGUGGACGCAUCACUGGUGUUCGGGUUGUCAUGCCAAUGGCACUGCCCGGUAGCUAAAUGCGGAAGAGAUAAGUGCUGAAAGCAUCUAAGCACGAAACUUGCCCCGAGAUGAGUUCUCCCUGACUCCUUGAGAGUCCUGAAGGAACGUUGAAGACGACGACGUUGAUAGGCCGGGUGUGUAAGCGCAGCGAUGCGUUGAGCUAACCGGUACUAAUGAACCGUGAGGCUUAACCUU
Molecule: ribosomal RNA, 1675 nt
Filed under: Escherichia coli
Lineage: Bacteria; Pseudomonadati; Pseudomonadota; Gammaproteobacteria; Enterobacterales; Enterobacteriaceae
Also listed under: 2 other names
Description: bacterial LSU rRNA
Rfam family: Bacterial large subunit ribosomal RNA
Source: RNAcentral